CAACGCCCUUCGGGGCUUCGUGGUGAUUCAUGAUAACUUUUCGAAUCGCAUGGCCUUGCGCCGGCGAUGGUUCAUUCAAAUUUCUUCCCUAUCAACUUUCGAUGCGAAGGUCUUGUCUUCGCAUGGUUGCAACGGGUAACGGAGGGUUAGGGCUCGACCCCGGAGAAGGAGCCUGAGAAACGGCUACUACAUCCAAGGAAGGCAGCAGGCGCGCAAAUUACCCAAUCCCGACACGGGGAGGUAGUGACAAUAAAUACUGAUACAGGGCUCUUUUGGGUCUUGUAAUCGGAAUGAGUACAAUUUAAAUCCCUUAACGAGGAACAAUUGGAGGGCAAGUCUGGUGCCAGCAGCCGCGGUAAUUCCAGCUCCAAUAGCGUAUAUUAAAGUUGUUGUGGUUAAAAAGCUCGUAGUUGAACCUUGGGCCUGGCUGGCCGGUCCCCCUCACCGGGUGCACUGAUCCAGCCGGGCCUUUCCCUCUGUGGAACCCCAUGGCCUUCACUGGCCGUGGCGGGGAAACAGGACUUUUACUUUGAAAAAAUUAGAGUGCUCCAGGCAGGCCUAUGCUCGAAUACAUUAGCAUGGAAUAAUAGAAUAGGACGUGUGGUUCUAUUUUGUUGGUUUCUAGGACCGCCGUAAUGAUUAAUAGGGACAGUCGGGGGCAUCAGUAUUCAAUUGUCAGAGGUGAAAUUCUUGGAUCUAUUGAAGACUAACUACUGCGAAAGCAUUUGCCAAGGAUGUUUUCAUUGAUAA
RNAcentral lists this ribosomal RNA (750 nucleotides) under Pseudallescheria sp. MP15-3-2. RNAcentral's name for it is "SSU rRNA". It matches the Rfam family "Eukaryotic small subunit ribosomal RNA", at positions 223 to 979 of the family's 1831-position model. The record is from RNAcentral. Lineage: Eukaryota; Fungi; Ascomycota; Sordariomycetes; Microascales; Microascaceae.